This 775-nucleotide ribosomal RNA is filed under the name uncultured bacterium. RNAcentral describes it as "bacterial SSU rRNA". It matches the Rfam family "Bacterial small subunit ribosomal RNA", at positions 28 to 774 of the family's 1533-position model. The record is from RNAcentral.
AAUGAACGCUGGCGGCGUGCUUAACACAUGCAAGUCGAACGAGAAAGGGAUUGCUUGCAAUCCUGAGUAGAGUGGCGCACGGGUGAGUAACACGUAGAUAAUCUACCCCCAAGCCCGGGAUAACCGUUCGAAAGGACGGCUAAUACCGGAUGCAGUUCAUUCACACAAGUGGAUGGAUGAAAGACUGCCUCUUCAUGAAAGCAGUUGUUUGGGGAUGAGUUUGCGUACCAUUAGCUAGUUGGUGAGGUAACGGCUCACCAAGGCUACGAUGGUUAGCUGGUCUGAGAGGAUGAUCAGCCACACUGGAACUGACACACGGUUCAGACUCCUACGGGAGGCAGCAGUGAGGAAUAUUGCGCAAUGGGGGAAACCCUGACGCAGCAACGCCGCGUGAGUGAUGAAGGCCUUUGGGUCGUAAAGCUCUGUCUGGUGGGAAGAACCAGGACUGUUCGAAUAGGGCAGUCCCCUGACCGUACCACCAAAGAAAGCACCGGCUAACUCCGUGCCAGCAGCCGCGGUAAUACGGAGGGUGCAAGCGUUAUUCGGAUUUAUUGGGCGUAAAGGGCGCGUAGGCGGCCGCUUAAGUCAGAUGUGAAAGCCCGGGGCUUAACCCCGGAAGUGCGUUUGAUACUGGGUGGCUUGAGUAUGGGAGAGGGAAAGUGGAAUUCCUGGUUUAAAGGGUGAAAUUCGUAGAUUUCAGGAGGAAACAUCGGUGGCGAAGGCGACUUCCUGGACCAAUACUGACGCUGAGGCGCGAAGGCGUGGGUAGCAAACA